GAUGAAGAACGUAGCGAAAUGCGAUAAGUAAUGUGAAUUGCAGAAUUCAGUGAAUCAUCGAAUCUUUGAACGCACAUUGCGCCCGCCAGUAUUCUGGCGGGCAUGCCUGUUCGAGCGUCAUUUCAACCAUCAAGCCCCCCGGCUUGUGUUGGGGACCUGCGGCUGCCGCAGGCCCUGAAAACCAGUGGCGGGCUCGCUGUCACACCGAGCGUAGUAGAUUUUCAUCUCGCUCAGGGCGUGCUGCGGGUUCCGGCCGUAAAAAGCCUUAUUUACCCAAGGUUGACCUCGGAUCAGGUAGGAAGACCCGCUGAACUUAAGCAUAUCAAUAAGCGGAGGA
RNAcentral lists this unclassified non-coding RNA (337 nucleotides) under soil metagenome. Its description in RNAcentral is "partial contains 5.8S ribosomal RNA, internal transcribed spacer 2, and large subunit ribosomal RNA". The stretch from base 1 to 120 matches the Rfam family "5.8S ribosomal RNA", at positions 35 to 154 of the family's 154-position model. The record is from RNAcentral.